Camelina sativa (false flax) is the source of this 493-nucleotide non-coding RNA. The record is from RefSeq and is a predicted model, not a curated record. Lineage: Eukaryota; Viridiplantae; Streptophyta; Magnoliopsida; Brassicales; Brassicaceae.
CCAAACACAGGAAUGGAGUUACCUGAGAGGAGGGCUCACAACAUUGGAUCGUGACUACGGAUGGAUUAAUAACAUCCACCAUGACAUUGGAACUCAUGUGAUACAUCAUCUUUUCCCGCAGAUCCCACAUUAUCAUCUAGUAGAAGCUACUGAAGCAGCUAAACCAGUACUAGGAAAGUACUACAGAGAACCGAAAAACUCUGGACCGCUCCCACUUCACUUACUGGGAAGCCUCAUAAAAAGUAUGAAACAAGACCAUUUCGUAAGCGAUACAGGAGACGUCGUGUACUAUGAGACAGAUCCAAAACUCAACUGACAAAGAACUUGACAACAGGCUGCAAUGAACCAGGCAGACGAGUUAAAAAUUCAUCUUGGCACAUUCUUUAUGUUCCUUUUCUUUUGGUCGAGAUUAAAAACUAAAAAGCAUUAUUUGUAGAAACUUUGUGGUAAAACUCUUUCGAUCGAAUGAAUAAUAUAUAAUCAGAUGGAUAUA